GCAAGUCGAGGGGCAGCACGAAUACUUGUACUUGGUGGCGACCGGCGCACGGGUGCGUAACGCGUAUGCAACCUACCUUAUACUGAGGAAUAGCCCAGAGAAAUUUGGAUUAAUACCUCAUAGUAUCAUUUAAAGGCAUCUGAAAAUGAUUAAAGAUUUAUCGGUAUAAGAUGGGCAUGCGUAAGAUUAGUUAGUUGGUGAGGUAACGGCUUACCAAGACUUCGAUCUUUAGGGGUUCUGAGAGGAUGAUCCCCCACACUGGUACUGAGAUACGGACCAGACUUCUACGGGAGGCAGCAGUAGGGAAUAUUGGUCAAUGGGCGAGAGCCUGAACCAGCCAUGCCGCGUGCAGGAAGACGGCCUUCUGGGUUGUAAACUGCUUUUAUAUGGGAAGAAAAUGACCUUGCGAGGUGAAUUGACGGUACCAUAUGAAUAAGCACCGGCUAACUCCGUGCCAGCAGCCGCGGUAAUACGGAGGGUGCAAGCGUUGUCCGGAUUUAUUGGGUUUAAAGGGUACGUAGGCGGCCAAUUAAGUCAGUGGUGAAAGCCAGCAGCUCAACUGUUGAACUGCCAUUGAUACUGAUUGGCUCGAGUUCUGUUAAGGUAGGCGGAAUUGAUGGUGUAGCGGUGAAAUGCAUAGAUACCAUCAGGAACACCGAUUGCGAAGGCAGCUUACUAGGCAGAAACUGACGCUAAUGUACGAAAGCGUGGGGAUCGAACAGGAUUAGAUACCCUGGUAGUCCACGCCGUAAACGAUGCUCACUCGCUGUUGGCGAUACACAGUCAGCGGCCAAGCGAAAGCGUUAAGUGAGCCACCUGGGGAGUACGCUCGCAAGA
Molecule: ribosomal RNA, 837 nt
Filed under: uncultured marine bacterium
Lineage: Bacteria
Description: bacterial SSU rRNA
Rfam family: Bacterial small subunit ribosomal RNA
Source: RNAcentral